GGCGGCGGGGCGCCCGCGCGCCAGCGGGGAGCGGCGCCAUUUCCUGCCCUCCCCCGGCGCGCGCCGGCUGCGCCUGGGGCGGCGGGGACGGGACGGGCACCGUGAGGGCACCGUGAGGGCACGGGCAGCGCCCCCGGGGCCCGGAGCCGGUCCGCCUCGGCCGGGGCCAUCCGCGCUCCCUUGGGCCCUGCGCGGGCCCCGCGGGGCCGCACGGCCGGCCCGGGGACCGUGGGCGCUCUGCCCGUCCCUUCCCGGCCUCCUGCCGCAUUGUCUGCGCUGCCGUUCCAGCCCGGCUCUGAGGGAGGAGGACGCUCUGCUUAAGGCUGUGCUUGGGAGUAUUGUCCUUACGAGAUUUUUAGAACCCUUGUCUAUCCCAGCUGGACUAUGUGACAUUUCACGAGAUCAUUAAUCAGUUAACAUACCUGGAGUUCAACUACCCUCAGGAGAAUUUCAGCCAAAGAACCAAUCAUAUGUAAAGCACCAUCCUUCUUGCGAGGAUCAGCGUUUGGCUCCGUGAGGAUUUGAUAACAAAAGCCCAUUGUCUUCUGCAGGACCUAGAUUACACGUAAGAGAAAAAAGGAUGCAGAAACAACAUUCUAGUGAAUGAAAACUACUUAAACUUGAAGACAAAUAGCCAAAAGCCACUUACAGCUGGUACAUCCCUAUCAACAACAGUCUUCAGGAUUUCUAUCCACUCAGUCAGGUUUUGCUGAUUUAUCAACUCCAAAGUUUCUCCUAGCAGGGUUGCUUUGUUCAACAUGUGCUAAAAGAGACUUUUGAGAAAAGUGUUAUACCAGCUGCAAAGUCCAAAAGAAGAAUGAAGUUCAAAGUUAACAUGGAAGAGACCAUUUCAUGGCAUGUGAACUAUGAAUAGUUAAUUACAACGUGGAAAAGCACUUUUCCUCCAGUAAUGAUACUCACUGCAGUAUCUUAAAUGAAUCUUUAAUGCUGGAAUAUUCAUCUCUCACACAAAGCCUGCAUGCCUCUAAAUCAUAAAACCAAGUUUCAUUUUGGGUAAAAAGACCUCCAUGCAUUCUUUUCAGACAUCAGGAAGCUGACAUACCAUAACAAACACACUACAAUAGGCACCUCCUUUACUGCUGCCCAAAAAAGCAGAACAGAUGAGCAACACUUACUUAAUGCUGCUGAACUGGAACCCCAGGUUAUUUAUAUAGCUAUUCAAAGCAGCACACAUGUGAAUAAAGGCUAACAUUUUAAAAAUAAAGUAGAUUUUUUAAAAAAAAGUAAUUCAAUGCUUUUCCUCCAUUCUAAUUUUGGGGGAAAAAAAUCUACAUGCAAUUUUUGAUCUGGGCCACAGCAGGACUGGGUGCAUGUAACUCUUGCACUGAGAUGAAACUGUUUUCUUAUAGAAAGGUAAGGUCAGGAGCUGUAAGGCCACGCUGAAUCAGCAAACUGCCCAGUAGCACUCUUUUAAUUCUUUUUUAAGAACUCAGCAGGUGUGGAAGUCGUUCUGACCUCAGGUUUUUUUUGCAAGCCAGUUCUGCCACCUCUCAUGCAGCUACAAUGUAUAUGCAAACCUAGUUUAACGUCCACAAAAGAUACACACACACACUUACAGUUCCUGCAAACAUCCCUGUCUGCUCCUUUCAUCACUGUCUGCAAGUUUGCAGCACUGUUUGCUCUACUGACUGAGGAAAAAGCAAUGUGCUCCUAGCAGAGGCUUGCCAGGCACACACAGGAACUAUUUGCUAAAUCAUGAGAAAGUGACAAGUGGCCCUUUCUGCUCGGAUUUUAUCUCCUGCUGGGAAACUUCUUCCCAGUGGAGCCAAGGCACCCUCGGUUCCUUACUGCCCCCAAGGGGAUUCCUGGUGUUGGACCAGCCUUGGCACAUGCAGCUGAAAACACCCAAAGCUCUCCUCAUCUAGCACGCACCAGAAUAUACAGAUGGAAGAUGAGGGAAGUGAAAGUACAGAAGUACUUCGGGUAAAAUGUCACACCAACAAGUUCAAAAGAGACCCCAUGAUCUGAUAAUCAAAGCCAAGAAACUCAUGCUCUGUUCUUUUUCUUACACUACAAUACAGAGCUGUAGAUGUUACACAUGCAAACCAUGUCAGAAAAAGUUUAAAAAAAUUUCAAUCUAGAGGUAACACAUAAACACCUUGCCCAAAGUAUCUAUAGCAUUCCAGCAUUUGAAAAAUCCUGUCUGAAAGACUCCAUGUAAGAAGCUUGCUUCUUCCCCUUUGACAACCUUCCACUCCUAAACUCUCCACAGCUAAGAUUUCAAUCAUUUCAUGUAACCACUCCAUCCUUCUGACAUUUGUAGGAGGCAGUGAAAGGACUGAACCAGGCCCUACUGCACUGUUAAAUCAAUGGUGAUGGUGGCCAGCCAACAGGAAUUCCUCUUUAUCCUUUCCCUGUCACUCACAUUAGAACACAAAAAACCUUAAAUGUAAUUUCUGAAAGUCAGGAUGUCUUCCUAAGCAAACUCUGUUGAGCUCUGACUUACAAAAAAUUAUGAGUUAUAGGGGAUUGCACUUUUUUUCCCCCUAAACAUUGUCAGACACAAAAACUGGGUUGUUAGUCUAAAAAGAAGUCUUAGUAGCUCACACACAGAGGUGAAUCUCACAGACUCACAAGACAUAUCACAAUGAAGUUAUAAAUUCCCUGGAAUUACAAAGAACAAACCUGCAAGGAAAGUAUUAUCUAGCAACUGCACCUUUAUAAAUAUGUUGAUAUUAGAAGAUGAAACAACGCUCUGUAUUGUUUUCAGAGUGUCAUUCCAUAGGUGCAUAGUUAAAAAUAACUAUUUUCAUCACAAUUUCUGAGAAACUCUUUAUACAUGAAGCACAAAGACUAUUUCAAAAGGCAGUAAUGUCUUCCUGCUGCUUUCCAGCAGCUUAAUUGAAGAGUCUGGUUCUAAGUUCGGGUAAAACACAGCUUUUCCCUGUGAGACAGGGACAGAGAUGGGUGAACACCCCAGGGUACCCCAUCAGCUAAAAAGGCUGAGAUGCAAGAGCCAGUGAUCUCAUUCCCAAUAACUUCUUUUCACAGUGAGAAAAGUAACGACAAGGAGACCAAAAUACUUGCUUUUUAACAUGAUCUCAACUCUGAAAGUUCUCACAGCCUUUUAUGGGCAGGCAAUACAACCUGAUGAAACUUAGUGAAAGGAGAAAUAAAGCAUAGAAUGAUUCACGACAUAGCCAAGGUCAAAGGAAAAAUAACAGAGCCUGGACAAAUCAAGAAUCAUACUCUCCAGACCCCUUCUCCAGUCAGGAGAACUUUGUUGACUGAUAGGAUAUGGCGAAGAGAGAUCCAAAUACUUGGUUAACUCUUACCUACUUAGAUAUCUCUUGCACUAAUCAGGAAUAUCAAUUACUGACUGAUGCACA
Molecule: long non-coding RNA, 3350 nt
Organism: Passer domesticus (house sparrow)
Lineage: Eukaryota; Metazoa; Chordata; Aves; Passeriformes; Passeridae
Exons: 5
Source: RefSeq, a predicted model, not a curated record